This 439-nucleotide ribosomal RNA is filed under the name uncultured bacterium. Its description in RNAcentral is "partial 16S ribosomal RNA". It matches the Rfam family "Bacterial small subunit ribosomal RNA", at positions 338 to 795 of the family's 1533-position model. The record is from RNAcentral.
CCUACGGGUGGCAACAGUAGGGAAUGUUGCGCAAUGGGCGAAAGCCUGACGCAGCAACGCCGCGUGAAGGAGACGUGCUUCGGGGUGUAAAGAUCUGUCAGUGGGGACGAAAAGGACGGUACCCACAGAGGAAGCACCGGCGAACUCCGUGCCAGCAGCCGCGGUAAUACGGAGGGUGCAAGCGUUGUCCGGAAUCAUUGGGCGUAAAGAGUGCGUAGGCGGCAUGUAAAGUCAGGUGUUAAAGGCGCAGGCUCAACCUGUGUAUGGCACUUGAUACUUGCAAGCUGGAAUGCGGUAGAGGUAACGGGAAUUCCUGGUGUAGCGGUGCACUGCUUAGAUAUCAGGAGGAACAUCGGUGGCGUCCGCGCUUUACUGGGCCGUAAUUGACGCUGAGGUACGAAAGCCAGGGUAGCACAUGGGAUUAGAUACCCUUGUAGUC